Molecule: ribosomal RNA, 490 nt
Filed under: uncultured bacterium
Lineage: Bacteria
Description: partial 16S ribosomal RNA
Rfam family: Bacterial small subunit ribosomal RNA
Source: RNAcentral
AUUGAACGCUGGCGGCAGGCCUAACACAUGCAAGUCGAACGGUAACAGGAAGACGCUUGCUUCUUUGCUGACGAGUGGCGGACGGGUGAGUAAUGUCUGGGAAACUGCCUGAUGGAGGGGGAUAACUACUGGAAACGGUAGCUAAUACCGCAUAACGUCGCAAGACCAAAGAGGGGGACCUUCGGGCCUCUUGCCAUCGGAUGUGCCCAGAUGGGAUUAGCUAGUAGGUGGGGUAACGGCUCAUCUAGGCGACGAUCCCUAGCUGGUCUGAGAGGAUGACCAGCCACACUGGAACUGAGACACGGUCCAGACUCCUACGGGAGGCAGCAGUGGGGAAUAUUGCACAAUGGGCGCAAGCCUGAUGCAGCCAUGCCGCGUGUAUGAAGAAGGCCUUCGGGUUGUAAAGUACUUUCAGCGGGGAGGAAGGGAGUAAAGUUAAUACCUUUGCUCAUUGACGUUACCCGCAGAAGAAGCACCGGCUAACUCCGUG